UACGGGGGGGGCAAGCGUUGUUCGGAAUUACUGGGCGUAAAGGGUUCGUAGGUGGCCAACUAAGUCAGACGUGAAAUCCCUCAGCUCAACUGGGGAACUGCGUCUGAUACUGGUUGGCUUGAGUGCAGGAGAGGAACGCGGAAUUCCAGGUGUAGCGGUGAAAUGCGUAGAUAUCUGGAGGAACACCGGUGGCGAAGGCGGCGUUCUGGACUGCAACUGACACUGAGGAACGAAAGCCAGGGGAGCAAACGGG
This 253-nucleotide ribosomal RNA is filed under the name uncultured bacterium. RNAcentral describes it as "partial 16S ribosomal RNA". It matches the Rfam family "Bacterial small subunit ribosomal RNA", at positions 524 to 776 of the family's 1533-position model. The record is from RNAcentral.